Hydra vulgaris (swiftwater hydra) is the source of this 417-nucleotide non-coding RNA. The record is from RefSeq and is a predicted model, not a curated record. NCBI's taxonomy places the organism in Eukaryota, Metazoa, Cnidaria, Hydrozoa, Anthoathecata, Hydridae.
AAACAGCUCUGUUUUAUCAGAAUGUGAAUAUACUUCCAUUAUCGAAUAUUUGAAAGAUAAAAAUGAUGGAAAAACUGGAUAUAUUACUUCACGGAAUAUUCAACGAAGAAUCAAGUCAAACAAGUUUAAACUAAUUGAUUACCCACCCUUAGGUUUAAAAGAUAUUUUAUGUGCUCCAACUAAAUGUAAUACAGAGAAUAAUUUGCGAGAAUCAUCGCCAUUUGGAAACUACAGUCGUGUAGUGAGUACUAAAGAUGUUUUUUCUGCUAUUAAUAUUGCACAUUGCCAGAAUGGUCUGCAUCUUGGGGCUUUAAAAACUUAUAAGAAGAUUAUUGAGGGUUAUGCAAACAUUGCAAGAAAAACUGUUGAAAUUUUUAUCAGUUUCUGCCCAACUUGCAAUUUAAAUGAAAGGCAGUU